Molecule: long non-coding RNA, 310 nt
Filed under: Sorghum bicolor (sorghum)
Lineage: Eukaryota; Viridiplantae; Streptophyta; Magnoliopsida; Poales; Poaceae
Description: long non-coding RNA (SBIC_LNC011182)
Source: RNAcentral
AAGUUGGCCAGGCAGUGCCCAGCUUUGCCGAGUGCCUCCACUCGGCAAAGCUGGGAUUUUGUUUUUUUUUCAGUUUUUUGUUGUAUUUUCGCUCAAGGAGUUUCGGCAGCACCUCUCCGUUGUUCUCUCGAUACACGUCCUGGUAAGGAAAGUGUGUAUCCGGAGAACAACGAGGAGAUGCUGCCAAAACACCGACUCGGACAGGAGCAGAACAUGGAAGCUAACCAUCUACGCAUCGACGGGCUAUCCAAAAAACAUAGACAAUCCGAAGCAGAUACGGCCGACGAAUAUGCACAGACACGCAUACCAA